CCCUUAGAUGUUCUGGGCUGCACGCGCGCUACACUGAUGCAUUCAACGAGUCUAAAACCUGCUCUGAUAGGGGUGGGUAAUCUUUUGAAUGUGCAUCGUGAUUGGGAUAGAUGAUUGCAAUUUUUCAUCUUCAACGAGGAAUGCCUAGUAAACGCAAGUCAUCAGCUUGCAUUGAUUACGUCCCUGCCCUUUGUACACACCGCCCGUCGCUCCUACCGAUUGAAUGAUCCGAUGAAUAUCAUGGAUUGAGGAUGCAAGUAGGUUCGCCUAUCUUCAUCUUCGAGAAGUGAAGUAAAUCUUAUCAUUUAGAGGAAGGAGAAGUCGUAACA
Molecule: ribosomal RNA, 329 nt
Filed under: uncultured eukaryote
Lineage: Eukaryota
Description: partial 18S ribosomal RNA
Rfam family: Eukaryotic small subunit ribosomal RNA
Source: RNAcentral